This 1470-nucleotide ribosomal RNA is filed under the name metagenome. Its description in RNAcentral is "SSU rRNA". It matches the Rfam family "Eukaryotic small subunit ribosomal RNA", at positions 281 to 1721 of the family's 1831-position model. The record is from RNAcentral.
GGCGACUCGAUGUAGCAAGAGAAAAUCUGCCCUAUCAACUUUCGAUGGCCGUAUAGAGGACCGCCAUGGUUGUGACGGGUAACGGGGAAUUUGGGUUCUAUUCCGGAAAGGGAGCCUGAGAGACGGCUACCAUAUCCAAGUAAAGCAGCAGGCGCGCAAAUUGACCAAUCCCAAUACGGGGAGUCAGUGACGAGGAAUAGCAGUGUGUUGCCCUCUGGGUAUCACUAUUGCAAUGAGUCCAUUGUACACAAAUGGACCAGGAACAAUUGGAGGGCAAGUCUUGGUGCCAGCAGCCGCGGUAAUUCCAGCUCCAAUAGUGUAUAUUAAAGUUGUUGCGGUUAAAAGGCUCGUAGUUGAACUGCAGAGGACAGUUUCAUCACUGUUAAGGGGCUCCGGCCCUACAGGUAUUGGUGACUCUGUCGUUUCUGAACAAGCGUGCAUGGCAGUCCCGAUGAGUGCGCUCUGAAAGGACGCAUGUGCGCAUUUUACUGUGAACAAAUGUGAGUGUUCAAAGCAGGUUGCGGCCUGAAGAUAUUAGCAUGGGAUAACGAAAUACGACCUUUCUGGUCUGUUGGUUUAACAGAAAGGGCAAUGAUCGACAGGGACAGUUGGGGUCGAUGGUAUUGACUGGUUAGAGGUGAAAUUCUAUGACCCAGUCAAGACCGACAAGAGCGAAAGCAUUCGACAAGGAUGUUUUCUUUGAUCAAGAACGAAAGUUGAGGGCGCGAAGAUGAUCAGAUACCGUUGUAGUCUCAACUAUAAACUAUGUCGACUUGGGAUCGGAGGGUGUUACAUGGAUGACCUCUCCGGGACCAUGUGAGAAAUCACAAGUAACCAGACUCCGGGGGGAGUAUGGUCGCAAGACUGAAACUUAAAGGAAUUGACGGAAGGGCACCACCAGGAGUGGAGUCUGCGGCUUAAUUUGACCCAACACGGGGAAACUUACCAAGUCCGAACAUGACGAGGAUUGACAGACUGAUAGAUUUUUCUUGAUUUUAUGACAAGUGGUGCAUGGCCGUUUUUAGUUGGUGGUGUGAUCUGUCUGGUUAAUUCCGAUAACGAACGAGAUCUUAACUUAUUGACUAGGCUUCCAAAAGGUGGUUUGGUGCCAUGCUCCGGCAUUGCAUCAUUCCGUUAACUCUUUGGUCGUCUUCUCAAGAGGACCUUUCACCCAUCAAGUGGAACGAAGCGUGAGGCAACAACAGGUCUGUGAUGCCCUUAGAUGUUUUGGGCUGCACGCGCAUACACUGCCGUGCUCAGAGAGUAAUAGUGAUCCUAACCUUUAGAACGGUGGGGUACACUUUGAAUACAUCAUGUGACUGGGAUUGUGCUUUGUAAUUAUCGCACAUCAACGAGGAAUUCCUAGUAAAUACAAGUCAUCAGCUUGUGUUGACUAAGUCCCUGCCCUUUGUACACACCGCCCAUCGCUCCUACCGAUUGGAUGAUCCGGUGAGGAUUUGAGAUGUCUUG